GACGAACGCUGGCGGCGUGCUUAACACAUGCAAGUCGAACGAUGAAGCCGGAGCUUGCUCCGGUGGAUUAGUGGCGAACGGGUGAGUAACACGUGAGCAAUCUGCCCUUGACUCUGGAAUAACUGCGGGAAACUGUAGCUAAUACCGGAUACGACACCUUGGGGCAUCCCAGGGUGUGGAAAGAAUUUCGGUCAAGGAUGAGCUCGCGGCCUAUCAGCGAGUUGGUGAGGUAAUGGCUCACCAAGGCGACGGCGGGUAGCCGGCCUGAGAGGGUGACCGGCCACACUGGAACUGAGACACGGUCCAGACUCCUACGGGAGGCAGCAGUGGGGAAUAUUGCACAAUGGGCGAAAGCCUGAUGCAGCAACGCCGCGUGAGGGAUGAAGGCCUUCGGGUUGUAAACCUCUUUUAGCAGGGAAGAAGCGAAAGUGACGGUACCUGCAGAAAAAGCACCGGCUAACUACGUGCCAGCCGCCGCAGUAA
This 483-nucleotide ribosomal RNA is filed under the name uncultured bacterium. RNAcentral describes it as "partial 16S ribosomal RNA". It matches the Rfam family "Bacterial small subunit ribosomal RNA", at positions 28 to 523 of the family's 1533-position model. The record is from RNAcentral.